GUUAAGCGACUAAGCGUACACGGUGGAUGCCCUGGCAGUCAGAGGCGAUGAAGGGCGUGCUAAUCUGCGAUAAGCGCCGGUAAGGUGAUAUGAACCGUUAUAACCGGCGAUACCCGAAUGGGGAAACCCAGUGUGAUUCGUCACACUAUCAUUAACUGAAUCCAUAGGUUAAUGAGGCGAACCGGGGGAACUGAAACAUCUAAGUACCCCGAGGAAAAGAAAUCAACCGAGAUUCCCCCAGUAGCGGCGAGCGAACGGGGAGGAGCCCAGAGCCUGAAUCAGCAUGUGUGUUAGUGGAAGCGUCUGGAAAGGCGCGCGAUACAGGGUGACAGCCCCGUACACAAAAGCGCAUAUUCUGUGAGCUCGAUGAGUAGGGCGGGACACGUGGUAUCCUGU
Molecule: ribosomal RNA, 396 nt
Filed under: Salmonella enterica subsp. enterica serovar Durham
Lineage: Bacteria; Pseudomonadati; Pseudomonadota; Gammaproteobacteria; Enterobacterales; Enterobacteriaceae
Description: partial 23S ribosomal RNA
Rfam family: Bacterial large subunit ribosomal RNA
Source: RNAcentral